Peromyscus eremicus (cactus mouse) is the source of this 1445-nucleotide long non-coding RNA. RefSeq lists it as uncharacterized. The record is from RefSeq and is a predicted model, not a curated record. Lineage: Eukaryota; Metazoa; Chordata; Mammalia; Rodentia; Cricetidae. The transcript is spliced from 4 exons.
CCUUUUUUUUCUCUUCCCAGGCCUGUAUCGCUUGUUUCUACUUCUUCGGUUAAAUGUCACUCCUUACGUUCCUGUUGGCAAGGUUUAUCUGGCCAUUCCACUAUGAUAUGCUGCUCUUGCUUAAUACAGAUCUCCUUGAAGAAAUAAUGUUUGCUUUCCUCCCUUUUACCUGAAGGGACAAAUGGAGAAAUUCACCUUUCCUCAGAAGGAAAGUAUUUUGCUUCUGUCUUCUCUCAAGGACAGAAACUGUUGUCUCUGGUGCUCAAAGGGUAACCAUCCCUUUUCCUAGGAGUUUAUGACUUUUGCUUCAUUACUGACAAAUACAAAGAUGCAUCAUUAAAAGAGGUUCACUUGGUUCUUUUCCCUUCCAACAUAUAAUUUUUCUGAGGAUGUGUGUGUGUACAUGUUCGAGUGUGCGUGAAUGUGCAAGUAUGUGUGGCAGCCAGGGAUCGACUUCAGUGGUCUUCCACUAUUGCUGUCCAAGUUAUUUUUGGGGAAAGGAUCCCACUGUUUUGGCCAGACCUGCUGGCCAGCAAGUUCCAAGGAUUUGACUGUAACCACCAGUGCCCUUUCAGUCCUGGGGAUUUAGGUGCAUGCAGGGCCCAGCUUUCUACUUGGUGUUGAGGAUCCAAACUCAGGUCCUUAUGAGCACAAGCAAGCACUUUACUCACUGGGCCAUCUCCCAGCCCCAUAAGCAUAUUUCUUAAAUCAAAGAAUAAAGCAGAAUAAAAACCUGAGAAAGUAUAGAUUUUGCUCCUAUCUGAACUCCUGAGGAUUCUCUUCUGUUAGAUUAAUUCGCAGUUGGUCUUUAGAAAUCUGUGAAAUUUUGCCUGUUUUUGUUCUUCCAGACUCAUCCAAAGGUGAAACGACUUGUUUGUCUCCUCAUUCUUGAGAGGGAGUUUUGCAUCCUUUGAAAGUCAGUUCAUAGUAUUGGAAGUAACAUCAUAACACAUUUCAAAAAAAUCAACAAAUUUCCUUGCCUGCAAAUUUAAAGAAUAAAGUCCCCAUCCCCACCUCUUUUAGAACUGGAUAUUUUCAAACGUUUCCAGUAUCUGCUGCCUUGGAGAAACGCCCAGGCAAACUGAGUGAAAACAUCAUAUGAUCUUAGCCAUGGGGAGCUGGAAGACAGAGGAUGGUUUCAGGGCUGAAGGACUCUGCAUGGAGCUGAGAACGGAGGUGGGCAGGAAGCUUAGAUUUUGGUGGCCCAGCCAAAGUUCAUGAAGAACCUGUGCUGUUAUCAGAGAAAGUGUCAAGUUCAAAGACAGCAACAGAGACAGAGACAGGAGCCUGUGCAGGGGAACCAGUGAGAGAGGAACAGGGCUUUGGCCAGAGGGGGCAGAUGCUUCACAGAGAAUUCUGAAGGUUUGAAUAUCUCUAGUUGAGCAUACCUGAACAUUUUUAUUGUAUCCUGAGAUUGGGCAUAAGUCAAGUGAUUUCCUACAGAC